UACGUAGGGUGCAAGCGUUAAUCGGAAUUACUGGGCGUAAAGCGUGCGCAGGCGGCUUUGCAAGACAGAUGUGAAAUCCCCGGGCUUAACCUGGGAACUGCAUUUGUGACUGCAUGGCUGGAGUGCGGCAGAGGGGGAUGGAAUUCCGCGUGUAGCAGUGAAAUGCGUAGAUAUGCGGAGGAACACCGAUGGCGAAGGCAAUCCCCUGGGCCUGCACUGACGCUCAUGCACGAAAGCGUGGGGAGCAAAACGG
RNAcentral lists this ribosomal RNA (253 nucleotides) under uncultured bacterium. RNAcentral's name for it is "partial 16S ribosomal RNA". It matches the Rfam family "Bacterial small subunit ribosomal RNA", at positions 524 to 776 of the family's 1533-position model. The record is from RNAcentral.